Non-coding RNA from Salmo salar (Atlantic salmon), 54 nucleotides. NCBI's taxonomy places the organism in Eukaryota, Metazoa, Chordata, Actinopteri, Salmoniformes, Salmonidae. The record is from Rfam.
GACCCACUGGACUGUAAGUUGCUUUGGAUAAAAGUGUCUGCUAAAUGUCACUUU